Long non-coding RNA from Musa acuminata AAA Group (dessert banana), 2444 nucleotides. RefSeq lists it as uncharacterized. Lineage: Eukaryota; Viridiplantae; Streptophyta; Magnoliopsida; Zingiberales; Musaceae. The record is from RefSeq and is a predicted model, not a curated record. The transcript is spliced from 7 exons.
CACAUCGAACAGCUGAAGAGACCACCUGCCGGAAUCCAUAAUUCGCCGCACCACCAAGCCAGUGUUCGAUCAAGAGCGGUGGUGUGGAUGCCGCAAGCAGCAAGCAGCUGCAGCAGACUGGAAGAGGAAAGCUGAGCAGGAACCCGAGAAAUUGACGUCCUUCAUGGUCGGGUUUUGCAAAGGGGGCAAACCAAAGGGGUAGAGCCCUAAGCCGGAGGUAUAGGGGCUAUCUGCAAUGUCUUGCUGUUCUGUUUCUUCUGCACUUGACGAAGUCCUCAGAGUUAUUUUCAGCUUGCUGAGUAGUUUUGGUCCAAAACCAGUUACCACCUAGUAUCAGAAAAAACUGCCAAAGAAUUGGGUGGUAUUUUCACUUCCCAUUCCACUUCAGCAUAGACUGGUCCAGGCUGACCUCUUAAGACCAGGCCAGGGAAAAGGAGAAGUGAAGAAGAAGAGGAAAAGAGGAGCUAGAGAAGAUGACAUGAAUGGGUGGAAGAAAAAGAAGAUGAAGGAUUGUUAGAGAACUAGAUGGAAUUCUUAAAGGCUUCUUAUCAACGAAGCUUCUGCACAUAUACAUUAAACUGGACCUGCAUAUUCUCACAAUAAUAUUCAACUUCUAUAGUACUUUCUCAGUGUCUCUGUUUUAUUCCAGCAGAUGGGCAGGAUGUAUCAUUUUCCAGGAAGUUUCGAGGUUCAAAACUAAAAGGGAGGCUGGACAUGGCCAUGCUUAAAGUUAUCUCACAUUUCUUGACAUCAAGUGGUAUUUGUUUGGUGGUCCUUGCUGCAUCCUAUUGGACAAAAUCUAUCACCAAGAUACUCCUUGCCUGCAACAUGUUCAAUGAGUAUGGAUUCUAUUCAGCAUGACAUCAUGUAUGUAAUAUGUCAACUAUGUCAUGUAGCAUUGCAGGACGGUCUCAUUUACCCAUCGCACCUUAUCUUAAUGGUCCACCAAAAAUCCUAAGCACACGGUUAGCUUUGCAAAUUUUAUGUUUAUGGUUAUUGUUUUGGUGUCGUAUCUCCCCCUCCCUCCAUCAUACUGUUAGUAGCUCAUUGUCUCUAGAUAAUUUCCUUGAGCUAACCUGCAUUGACUUACCAUGAUCAUCCAUCAGAUUAGAUUUUAUUACUGAAAAUUAGCACAUUGACCUUUUUGGGGAUCAGGUUUUGUGAUCUUAGCAUCUUUGUUAGCAACAUAAUUUUCUGAAGUUUAGACCUACUUAAUUUCUAGGAAGUUGGGAGCUGUUCUUGCUAAGACGUUCAAACUAGCUAUUAGUUCCAGUCCUCUGCAGCCAGUUUACUUUGUAUUCCUUUUUGUUUCUCAAUCUGAGCAAUUUGUCAUGCAAUUGUUGCAUAUAUGAUCUCUCUCUAUUUAGGAUCCAUCUUGUGGAAAUUAACUUGCAGCACAGGAUGGUUCAUGUGAGUUGCUUUAUGGUUGCAUUCAUAAUUGUUUGUUAUAGUAUUGUACUGAUUUAUUUUGGUUUACUGAGAUAUUAUUGAGUCCCUGACAUGGUUUUCCACUUGGUUGACAGCCUUUGCUGCUGCUUCAAGACUGUUGUUUGAUGCCUGGAAUUCAUCUUCCCCUUCCUAUUCUGCCCACUGCUUUGCAUUUCUAGAUCCCACACAAGUUAUCUGGUGCAUAAACUAAAGGCACUUAAUGUGCUCCCUUAUGCAUGUGAUCUGGUGAAAGCCACGUUGAUUCAGAUACAGCAGAUGUUGUUCAAAGGCUUGGAAAAGGCAGGAGACAAGCGGCAUGAGCAACACAGAAAGUGGGAACAUGGCCAUGUACUGGCGCCUACUUCAGUGGACCUACAUCAGAUCAAGAAAGAACAUCCAAGAACAUGAAUGCAAACCACAAAGCAGGUACAAUGGUACGAUGGUGGUGGUUCUUUCACUGAUUGCAUCAUAUCCUGUGGCUAUAAUUUCUUUCGUUAUCUGAGUGCUACUCCAAAUAUUUGGUUGGCGCAUCAUCAUCAUCAUCAUCACGGUGAUGAUCGAGAAAGCCAAGCUGCCGAGUCGGUUCGGAGGCAUGGGAACCUAAGAACCGAGGCACGGGAAACGACGGGAUGAGAAGAGUGGCGUUGGUUGCUGGACCACAGGCUUGGUAUUAUGACAGAGUCGGUCUGAGCACUUUUUUGGGCUCUACCAUAUUUCUAAGACUUGGUACUUUCCAUGGAGUUGUUGUCACAGUGAUCCCAACAACAUACUGUUCAUUGACGUAUAUAUAUCAGGUAAUGGAUAACCCAACCGAGAGAGAGAGAGAGAGAGAGAGAGAAUAUUAAAUUACAUAUAUAUCUUGAUCGGUAUUGGUUCUUAUUGUCCGAUUAACUUGUUAAGUAUGAAAAGUAUGAAUCACUCUCCUGAGGGGUUUAAGCUCAAGCUAACAAUAGUGCAUCUAUCAUAUUGUUAUAAGUCAAGUAAGUUCUUGUCCUCUCAUCCAUGGUUAAUUAACU